This 8686-nucleotide long non-coding RNA is filed under the name Homo sapiens (human). RNAcentral describes it as "HSALNT0098740". Lineage: Eukaryota; Metazoa; Chordata; Mammalia; Primates; Hominidae. The record is from RNAcentral.
AAUCAUACAAAUAAAAAUACAGUAGAACAAUAUUUACAUAGCUUUCACACUGUAUCAGGUAUUAUAAGUAAUCUAGAGACUUAAAGUAUGAGGGAGGAUGUACUUAGGUUAAAUGCAAGUACACGCCAUUUGACUUUAUUUUUGUAGAGACGGUCUCACUCUGUCACCCAGGCUGGAGUGCAGUGGCACAAUCACAGCUCACUGCAGCUUUGACCUCCCAGGCCCAAAUGACCCUCCUACCUCAGCCUCCAGAGUAGCUGGGACUACAGGCAUGAGCCACUACAUCCGGCUAAUUUUUUUUUUUUUUUUUUUUUUUGGUAUUUUUUGUGAAGAUGGGGUUUUGCCAUGUUGCCCAGGCUGGUCUUGAACUCCUGGGCUCAAGCAAACCACCCACUUCAGCCUCCCUGAGUGCUGGGAUUAUACUAUGCCAUUUUAUAUGAGGGAUUUGAGCAUCUCUGGAUUUGGGUACCUAUGAGGGAUCCUGGAACCAAUGCCCUGAAGAUACCAAGGGACGACUGACUAUACUGUUUCUACUCUUCCAACAUUCACCUAUGAUCAGCCUUACCCUAGCGAAACCCCUGCACUCCCAAAACCUCACUGAGUGGGCCUCUCAUGAACGCUGACACUGUCAUCCAGCACCCCUAUGGGGUUUUAUUUAUGGUUGCUUUAAAAAGAAGCACUUUGAAAGCUUCGAAAGAAAGAUGCUGAACAACCAGACCAGAUUAUGAAUUUUGUGUUCAAAUGAGUUAAUUUCCCUUAAUAGGGGUCAAAUCAUUUUUAUUUCCCUGCAACCUAAAGAAACUGUGCUGAGCUUUAAUGUAGACACACUUUACCCACCUCACCCCCGGCCACAGGAAAGCUGACGUCAUCAAGAGAACUGAGGGUGUUCGCAGCAAGGAACACGGAGUUACUCUGAAACAUUCUCCAGAGCAAGAGUUCUUAACCUGGGCUACAGGAAAUCUUCACAACCCUUAAAUUACACGUGUGACUUCCCAUCAAUGCGCAGCUCUGUCCAAGUCCUUGGCUUUCAUCAGACUCUCAAAGGAGCCUCAGAAAGCCAGAAUUUUGUCUCAGUUUCUCUCAUCAUUGAUUUUAAGGGUUAUCCCGCCUAGUUCUUCUUUCCUUGUUUUCAGUGAAACUGUGACCUGCUCCAAAAACACGCAGUCAGUGAAAUUUAGUUCCCAAAUAUUUUAUGAUAAUAUAGCAGUGGGCUACAUAUAAAAUAAAUGGUAAAAGGUCCUAUUCCUUGGUCUUACUCAUAACUAAAUAAUUAACUUACUGGAUUUCAUUUUUGAGGUUUUUAUUGAAAAUAUUUCUUCCUAAAACACAGUAUCUUCUCUCUCCUUGUGAGAUGUCAAAAAAAAAAAUUUGUAUUGAAACAAAUCAGUGAAUUUGUCGUAUUUCUUUCUUAACCUUUCUAACUGUAGAGGAACAUGGCAUACAGAGGACUUAUCUUUGAACACGUUUUUACUAAAUAAAUAUUCAUCGAUUCACUCAGUACAUUUUUAUUGAGUCCUUUUUUCCAGGCACCAGUUUAGGUACAGGGGAUUCCAAAGCAAACAAAAGAAAAUCAAUUGCUCCCAAGAAGCUUGCAUUCCAGCAGGGAACACAGAUUAUAAACCAUAAACUAGACAGAACAGGAGGCGGGGAGCGGAUAGUAAUAAGCACUGUAUUAGUUUUCUGGCUUAAAGCGACAGAAAUUUACUGUCUCAUUGUUCUGGAGGACAGAAGUCCAAAAUCAAAGUGUGGGCAGGGCCCCACUCCCUCUGAAGGCUUAGGGGAGAGUCCCUCCUUGCCCCUCCUACAUUCCUGUGGCUGCCAGCAAUCCCUGCCAUUCCUUGGCUUUGUAGAUCCAUCACUGCAAUUUCUGCCUUCACAGUCACAUGGCAGCAUUCUUCCUGUGUAUCUGUCUCUGCGUCUAAAUUUCCCUUGUGUUAAAUGGACAGCAAUCAUUGGAUUAGGGCCCACCCUAAUCCAGUACAACCUCAUCUUACCUUGAUUACCUCUGCAAAGACAUUCUUUCCAAAUAAGGUCAUAUUCACAUGCAAUGGAGGUUAGGACUUUAACAUAUCUUUUGGGAUAUGUUAAAUUUAACACAUAACAUGUGUUUUGAAAACAAAAUUAAGUGGCCAUAUGGGAGACAGAGAGUGAUGGGUGCUGGCAUGUCCAGGAGGGCCUCUUGGAAAAGAUGCCAUUGAAGCAGAAACCAAAAUGAAGUGAAGGAAUGAGCCAUGGGGACAUUUGGUGAAGGGGGUACAGGCAGAGACCCCGAGGCAGAGGUGCUGAGCCCCUGUGCCUAUACUCCUGACUCUCAGAAACUACAAGAUAAUAAAUGCUUGCUUUGUAAGCCAUUAUGUUUUACAGUAAUUUGUUUGCGGCAAUAUAAAAUGUAUGCGAUUACCCAAUAGUGGCCUUGCCUGUUGUGUUAGUUUUCGGUUGCUGCAUAACAAAUUGCCAUAAACUCAGCAGCUUAAAGCUUAACUCACAGUUUCUAUAGGUCACAAGUCUAUGCUCAGGGUCACACGAGGCUGAGAUCUUGGUGCUGGCAGGGCUGUGCUCCUUGUUGGAGCUCAGAGGCCUCUUUCAAGCUUUUGUGGCUGUUGGUAGAAUUCAGUUCCUUGCAGUUGUUGGACAUAUGCCCCCUUUUCUUGCUUGUUGGCUGGGGGCCACUCAUACCUCCUGGAGGCUGCCCACAGCUCCUGGCUGGGAGGACCCCUGCGAAGGCCUCUAAUUCUUCGAAUUCCUUGGACAUCGUCUAUCUCUGAUCUUUAGACCCAGAAUCAAAGGACUCAUGUGAUUAGGUCAGGCCCACUCAGAAUAAUCCCCCUUUCGGCAAACUUGAAGUCAACUGAUUAGUAAACUUAAUUACAAUUGGUGUGGACACAACAGUGACUCCAUCUUGGACGCUAAUCUGCCAUGUUGAAUUCUGAUUAGCCCUAGUCCUGUGAAUGUCCCCUGAUUUCUACUUUGUUUACUGUCCCUAGUGUAAGAACAUGUCAACCUUGAUGCUACUCCACAAAUAAUAGGCGUCAUAAUAGGAAAUGGCGCAUACAGCAUGCCUGCCGUUCUGUAGGGCUGCCUCCCACUGUCUCCCUGGAGCACAUACCCCUUUCCCAGCGGUAUAAGAGCCCUUGGUCUGUUGAGUAACAGAGUGGAGAUCUACCUGUCCUGCAGCCACCCAAGACCACGCUUCUGUCUGUAAGUUCCCCAAUAAAUCAACCUUUACUGACAAUCUGGAUUUGUGUGCCUCUUCUUUGGUUUUUUGGCUCCUUUGGUAUUUGGGGGCCGCUUUGCCCUUUCACUGAACAAAUGGCAAAUUCCCUUAUCUAUAUAAUGUAACAUAAUCAUGAGAGUAAUACCGCAUCAUAUCCACGGACCUGCCUACACUUAAGGGAAGAGAAUACAAAGCGUGUGCGCUGGGGGCAGGAAUCUCGGGGCUGUCUUAGAUUCUGCCUGCCGUGCUCCUCUUCCACUGUGGCGCUGUAACCAGCAGCAUUCUGUGAACUCCACAAGGGCCCUGGAUGUGCGUGGUGUGUGCCUGUCAACAACAUGGGCGGGGCCACUUUGGCCAGAUCAGAGACAGUGCCAGGGCCCACUGGCUCUGUGCCAGCCACCAUGCUAGGGACCUCCUAGGUGCAAUGUCAUCUCAUCCUCCCUUUGGUGCAGACACUGUUAACUUCUCUGUUAUGCAGGUGAGAACACUAAGACUCACAUGACUUAAACUACUUCUCUGAGAUUCCAAAUAUAAAGUGGUAGAGCCAGGGUUUGAACCCAAAGUGUCAGAAAGUCAGGUUUCCAAUCCUAGCUUUGUUAUUUUCUACCUGUGUUACCCAACUCCUCUGGCCUCACUUUGCCCAUCCCUAUAGUAGGGUUAACAGAAUAUGUGGCUUCGGAUAUUCUCAGGGGCUGUGGAAGGGGCUCUGUAAGCAAUGACGGCUGGAUCUGCCUCAUGGAAACAGUAAAGCGCCAUAAGAGGCUGAGAGAUAGCGGCUGUUGACAUGACUUUGAAGCACUUUUAUUUCUAUUUACUGGAAGAGGUUGUUUUCAGGGCAACCCAAGGAUUCAGAAAACAACGAAACCAUGAAGUCAUCUUGGGGCUCACAGAGCUCUGAGCAGGAGAAACAGGGACUGGGGUUUGGGGAAGGCAUCAACUCAUGCUAUGGCAGAGGCAGAGAGGCUUGUCAGGCAUGGAUCUUCCCUGCCCCACUGGAGUCACAGAAUCUUCUAGUUUUACCCAUAUUUAUGCAGGGUGCUGAGUCACCAAUGUAACCCAGCAAUCCAUCUUGACUGAAAACAAAUGGCUUGUUUAAAUGAAAAGCAGACAGCAGAAGCAGAACGUCCUCAAAAGAGUGUCUUUCAUGUCUCCUUAUUAGGCGCCAGUGGGUCUUUUAGACAGUUUGUACCCAAAGGGAGAAGUGGUUAAUCACUGUGCAUGUUGCCUAAUCAGGAAGCAAAAACCUUGAAGGACACCCGAAGUUCGUGUUAGAAAUGCAAAACAGCCUGAACCCUCUGCGAGUGAAAACAUGUAUGUGUGCAACUGUCAACGUACCCCUCCUUCCUUCCCGCUCUUCCCUGGAGAAGGUAGAAUAGGGAGAGGAAAGCCUUGUUGAAAUACAGCCCGAGUCAUUUGCUUCACAGGCUGGGAUUCUUUCGGAUGCUGGUGCUAAUGGGUGAAGUCUGCCACUCUGAUGCUUGCGAGAGCCGUAGGAGACAGGUCAGGUUCCAGACCCGGACUCUGGAGGUCCUAAUCCUGCUGCCCUGGAUCCACCGGUCACCUCGGAGUCUUCACAGUUUCCCUCCGCAGGAGCCAGAAGGAGUUCUCAAAUAGUGAAAUGCUGGUGCAGGGCCCAGUCUCCCAGAGCUCCUGAACCUGGUGCACCUCCCACCCGCAAGCCCAUCCCAAGAUCCCACUAACACCAUUGCAACCCAGUUUGAAAGCACCAGGCCUGUGAGCAUUCUUUCAUUAUUAACAAUUGAAAAUGACCCCAGAUAUUUUUCAGCCUCCUGCUUUGCAUGGCACGUCUCUGUGUUGUCUCAUAUGCAGUCAGCAGUGGUGUCUCCCUUAUGCUGUGUUCAACAGCUCAAACCCAAAAGGAAACUUCACAGGGAAAAUGAACAAGGUAAGUCAAAAUGUAAUGGUCACGGAUAAUACCUACUCUAGGUAUCUAGUCAACAAGGAUGCAAAAAGCCUGCUUUUCACAGGUUGGACUGUGUGAAUCCAUCUUUGUAUAAUAUGUCAGGGAUAUCCACAGACAUUCUUAACAUCAACAUUAAAUGUGGGCUGGGCUGGCACGGUGGCUCACGGCUGUAAUCUGCAGACAAACAAAGCAGUGAUGGAGGCCCAGGAGGACUAUGGUGGGGACUUGGGAGGCAUCCAGAAUGGGCCCAGAGCCACGGACAGGGUGUCCAAUCAUUGGAACUGGACAAAGUGAAGGACCUGUGCCAGACAGAGCCUGUCAGUGAGGGUGCAAACACCUUCUGAGACAGCAGACCCCAAGGAGAAGACACAAAGGGCCAGGACCCACGGUGAGUCUAAGCAGACCUACAGGUAAACCAGCCCCCCAAGUCCAUGGCUGUUGGGGCCUUCAGACUAUAAAUGAGGUUUCCCAUAGGACAUACCCACUCUGCACUGCAGCAGAGCCGGUGAAGCACGUGGUAGGCCGGGUCUGCUGAAGGCCGGGAGGAGGAGGGUUGAACAAACAGAGAAAAACAAAAAACAGCACAGGCCUGCUCUGGGCCGGCGCCGAAUGAUCAUGUCACUCCUUCCCCCUGGGCUGCAGCCUGUCCUGGCAGUCAGGUCUCAGCCUGGAGGAUAUUUUCCAGUCCUGGGCGAGGGUGGUUUCCGGCCUACCAAAUGACUGACAGUUCUUUAGGCCUCAGGCUUCCUGGGUGCCCCACACCACUGCAGCCUGCACACCAGGGCAGCAGCUGGUGCGUGCACUCCAGGGACUUGAUCAGAAACCAGGGGACCCCAGGGUACAUCUGCAGGCUGGCUUCAGGGGCAGCAGAAGCCAUGGAUAUAGCCUAUUCCUCCCCAUCCAACCAAGGAACAUCCCCCUGGGCAGGCAUGAGCAAAGAGCAAUGCCUGGGCCAACAAGGAACUCCGUGGGAGGUGGGAAGUAGGGUCUGGAUGGGAGCAAGAGGCCUGGUGUGGGGCUGUGGUCACUCCUGACCAUAUUAACGCAAUUAUGUGUGGAAUAAAGCAAGGAUUUAACACUGCUGUUUCUAAUUCUCACUAAUGACGACAAGAUUUUACUUAAUUUAUACUUCUUCCCUCACAAUGAAAACCUUCUCAAAGAUAUUAAUACAAUUACUUAUGGUCACAUAUGUAAAUUUGUAUAUAUCAUAGUUUCAAAACAAUACCAUUUUUAUUACCAACAAUGAGACUACUGAACACAGUUUAGGUUUUAUUUGUGGUUCUUUUUGUCUCUUUGUCCCACUUGGAAUGCACGAAUUACUGCGUUCAAAGUCACUUGAAACAAUUCUCUGUGAGGUUAAGCCAUCAAUUUUGUAUACAGGACCGUUUGUUUUCAAUAUUAAGAGAUGAUUUUUAUUCGUUUUAGUUUAAUUUUGUUUUCUAGUUAAAAAACACUUGCAGCGUUGCAAAGCCAGCUUAUAAAACAGGGUACAUUUCUGUUUGUAGCCUUGUGGUUUAUUCUUCCAUUGUCUCCUUUUCAAAAUAAAAGCAAAUAUGUAGACACACUCCUAUUUCCUCCUUUUUCUUAUAUAAAAGGCAGCAUAUUCUCUACACAGUUCUGCACCUGGGCUCCUCCAGUCGGCAAUAUCCUGACAGUAACUUUGUGGUGAUAGUAGAGUCCCUCCUCAUUGCCUCUUACAGCCCCACACAACACCACAGAGUGGGCGGACACUGUCCAGCCAGUCCCUUGGAUGGAUCCUUGAGAAACUUCCGAUCUUUAGCUUUACAAAGAGUGCUGCAAGGUACAGUCCUGUUCACGUGUAAGUUCAUGCUUUUGGGAAGACUCCAUUUUGAAUCCUCCCCCUCACUGUGAAACCGUUAGCUGGCCACUUCCCGUGCAAAGCCUCAGGUCCCUGCUCUGUAAGACGCUGAUAAUAAUAGUUUCUAGCUCACAGCUCAAAAGGGCCUGGUGCAUGGUCGACAGUCAAUAAAUGUUUGCUGUUUUCUUUCAUCUGAGAAUCUUGAUUCCUCAUUAGUUUAGAAUUCUAGGUUGAUAGUUCUUUUCUCUCAGCGUUUGAAAACUUCUUAUGCCACUUCCUCUGGCCUCCAUAGUUCCUGAGGAGCGAUCUGCUGUCAUUGACAUUGCUGUCUCCCCAUAAGUAAAGUGUUGCUUCUCCCUGGCUGCUUUCAAGUUUGUUUCUUUGUCAUCAGAUUUCGGAAAGUGGAUUUGUGUUGAUGUGGAUUUCUUUUUGUUUAUCGUAUUUUGGAUUUGCUCAGCUUCUUGAGAACUGUGGGUUUGUGUUUUUUGCCAAGUUUGGAACAUUUCAACUAUUAUUUCUUCAAUUCUUGUCAGCUCAUCCCCUUCACCUCUCCUUCUAGCAUUCUGAUGACACAAAUGUUAGAUCGUCUAUGAUAGUCCCAUGGGUCUCUGAGGCUCCGUUCUCUCUUUUUAUUUUUUCUUCUUCUUCUUCUUCUUCUUCCUUUGGUCUAUUUUCUCUCUGUUGUUCAGAUUGGGAAAUUUCUGUUAUAUCCUAUCUUCCAGUUUACUGAUUCUUUUCUCUGUCAUCUCUGUCCUGCUGUUGAUACCAUCUUUUGAGUUUUUAAUUUUGGUUUUUGCAUUUUUCAGUUCUAAAGCCCUCAUUUUGUUUGUAUCUUUUCCAUUUCUGUAUUAAGACUCUAUUCUUAAUUUCUCAUUUGUUCCAAACACAUCUGUAAUUGCUCACUGAAGCAUUUUUAUAAUGGCUGUUUUACAGUCCUUUCCAGAUAAUUCCAACAUCUCUGCCAUCUCAGUGUUGGUGUGUGCUGUUUUUCUUUUAAUCCAAGGUGAAAUUUUCCUGGUUCUUGUUAUGACAAGUAGUUGUUCAUUGAAACUUAGACAUUUUGAGUAUUAUAAAAUAUUCAGAGUCUGGAUCUUGUUUAAUCUAUCUUAGCCAGCUCCCAUGACACCACUCUGGCAGGAAAAGAUGGGGGGUGCCACUGUGUUGCUGUCACGUGGGGUGGACACCAGGUUCCCCACUUGGUCUUUGUUGAUAUCCAAAGAAGAAAGAGGUUCUUUGGUACUGCUGUGGGGAGUUCCCGGGAGUUCUAUCUCCUCACUACUGAUACCAUCGUGGCCGGGAGAGGCCACUCCACCAACACCAUGGAGAAGGGCUGGUAUUUGGUUAGGGCAGAGCAGUUCUUACCUAAACAAGUGCAUCUGGCGAGGCUAGCCCUCUCCCGAUCCUUUGGCUAGAGAGCAGGCUUUUGUUGUGAGGUCACCACUGUGUCAUUCCUUGUGUCCCAGGGUCCCUAGCUGCCUGCCUUCUUCUCCCCAUCAUAACAGUCUUCUUAUGUUUGUUUUAUAUAUAAUGUCCAGGGCUUUCAGUUGCACUUAGGAGGAACAGAGAAAAUAUUUCUCCUCUUUUUCCAGGACUGGAAGUUACUUGAAGCCUUUAAAAAUAUGUUUCAGAUGCCAAAGUGAAACAAAAAUAACACAAGGUCAAGUACCUUUCCCUCUCUGGGAUUCAGUUUCCCCAUCUUUAAAAAAUUGGUCUAGAUCCCAGCUUCUCC